CACUUCAUCAGUAUAAGGGAGAGUUUGUAGCGGAAUACAGGGUGAGAUGAGAUCUUGAUCAUCGAUUGUCAGAUGAGUGAAGGUUGGUGUUGCUUGGUCUACAGUUUUCUGCAGGAAUUUCCUUAGGCAUGGGAGGACACAACAAAUGAGAAGAGCGAGAAUAAAAAGAAAAAUUAGUAAGGCAAUACCAAUCUGGACUAAAGCUCUCUGCCAACCAGUCAUCCAACCAAACCAUUUUUCCCAGGGAUCAGUACCUCCAGAGUUUCUCUUUAACUCUUCUGAGAGUCUAUUUAAUUUAGCUAUGGCCAGAGUGACUUUACCAUUAGGACCUGUGUUUUCUGGAAUGUAAGUGCAACAAGUCAUAGUGUCGGGAAGUAUUUUACAGACCCCCCUUUUUCGGCUAAGAUCAUGUCUAAGGCCAGUCUGUUCUCGAAGGUCAUUUGGGAUGUGGCCUGUAAUUGCUCGGCCAAGCCCUGGAGGGCAUCCCUGGUGUAGUUCACGAAGCGCUGUUGGUUGUAAUAGAUAUAAUUAAUCCAAUUAAGGUUUUUGUUGGCAGUGACUAUGGUAAAAAGUGAUUCAAAACCUACAGCUACUUCAUCUCUAGC
Molecule: non-coding RNA, 605 nt
Organism: Pelobates cultripes (western spadefoot toad)
Lineage: Eukaryota; Metazoa; Chordata; Amphibia; Anura; Pelobatidae
Source: the annotation of a GenBank genome assembly